AGAGUUGAUCUGGCUCAGGAUGAACGCUAGCGAUAGGCCUAACACAUGCAAGUCGAGGGGCAGCACAUGAGUAGCAAUACGAUGGUGGCGACCGGCGCACGGGUGAGUAACACGUAUGCAACCUGCCUUUAACAGGGGAAUAACCCGUUGAAAAACGGACUAAUACUCCAUAACACAGGGGUCCCGCAUGGGAAUAUUUGUUAAAGAUUUAUCGGUUGAAGAUGGGCAUGCGUUCCAUUAGCUUGUUGGUGAGGUAACGGCUCACCAAGGCUACGAUGGAUAGGGGAACUGAGAGGUUUAUCCCCACACUGGAACUGAGACACGGUCCAGACUCCUACGGGAGGCAGCAGUGAGGAAUAUUGGUCAAUGGAGGCAACUCUGAACCAGCCAAGUCGCGUGAAGGAAUGAAGGUCUUAUGGAUUGUAAACUUCUUUUGCAAGGGAAUAAAGUGGGGGACGUGUCCUCCUUUGCAUGUACCUUGCGAAUAAGGAUCGGCUAACUCCGUGCCAGCAGCUGC
RNAcentral lists this ribosomal RNA (517 nucleotides) under uncultured bacterium. RNAcentral describes it as "bacterial SSU rRNA". It matches the Rfam family "Bacterial small subunit ribosomal RNA", at positions 8 to 518 of the family's 1533-position model. The record is from RNAcentral.